CUGCUAAGACUGGAUAGGAGACAAGAAGGCAUCUUUUUGUUUUUAAAAGACCUAGCAAUAGGUAUGCUUAGGGAGGAGCUUGCGUCACAUUAGUUAGUUGGUGGGGUAAAGGCCUACCAAGACUAUGAUGUGUAGCCGGGCUGAGAGGUUGAACGGCCACAUUGGGACUGAGACACGGCCCAAACUCCUACGGGAGGCAGCAGUAGGGAAUUUUCGGCAAUGGAGGAAACUCUGACCGAGCAACGCCGCGUGAACGAUGAAGUAUUUCGGUACGUAAAGUUCUUUUAUUAGGGAAGAAUGAAUGAUGGAAAAAUCAUUCUGACGGUACCUAAUGAAUAAGCCCCGGCUAACUAUGUGCCAGCAGCCGCGGUAAUACAUAGGGGGCAAGCGUUAUCCGGAAUUAUUGGGCGUAAAGGGUGCGUAGGCGGUUAAAUAAGUUUAUGGUCUAAGUGCAAUGCUUAACAUUGUGAUGCUAUAAAAACUGUUUAGCUAGAGUAAGAUAGAGGCAAGUGGAAUUCCAUGUGUAGUGGUAAAAUGCGUAAAUAUAUGGAGGAACACCAGUAGCGAAGGCGGCUUGCUGGGUCUUUACUGACGCUGAGGCACGAAAGCGUGGGGAGCAAACAGGAUUAGAUACCCUGGUAGUCCACGCCGUAAACGAUGAGUACUAAAUGUUGGGUAAAACCAGUGUUGAAGUUAACACAUUAAGUACUCCGCCUGAGUAGUACGUACGCAAGUAUGAAACUUAAAGGAAUUGACGGGACUCCGCACAAGCGGUGGAUCAUGUUGUUUAAUUCGAAGGUACCCGAAAAACCUCACCAGGUCUUGACAUGCUUCUGCAAAGCUGUAGAAACACAGUGGAGGUUAUCAGUUGCACAGGUGGUGCAUGGUUGUCGUCAGCUCGUGUCGUGAGAUGUUGGGUUAAGUCCCGCAACGAGCGCAACCCUUAUUGUUAGUUGCCAGCACGUAAUGGUGGGGACUUUAGCAAGACUGCCAGUGAUAAAUUGGAGGAAGGUGGGGACGACGUCAAAUCAUCAUGCCCCUUAUGACCUGGGCUACAAACGUGAUACAAUGGCUGUUACAAAGGGUAGCUGAAACGUAAGUUUUUGGCGAAUCUCAAAAAAACAGUCUCAGUUCGGAUUGAAGUCUGCAACUCGACUUCAUGAAGUUGGAAUCGCUAGUAAUCGCGAAUCAGCAUGUCGCGGUGAAUACGUUCUCGGGGUUUGUACACACCGCCCGUCAAA
This 1241-nucleotide ribosomal RNA is filed under the name Polish tomato phyllody phytoplasma. Its description in RNAcentral is "bacterial SSU rRNA". It matches the Rfam family "Bacterial small subunit ribosomal RNA", at positions 160 to 1401 of the family's 1533-position model. The record is from RNAcentral. Lineage: Bacteria; Bacillati; Mycoplasmatota; Mollicutes; Acholeplasmatales; Acholeplasmataceae.